CUCUCUCUCUCUCUCUCUCUCUCUCUCUCUCUCUCUCUCUCUCUCUCUCGCUAUGUAUGUAUGUAUGUACGUACGUACGUACGUACGUACGUACGUACUGUACGUACUGUACGUACUGUACGUACUGUACGUACUGUACGUACUGUACGUACUGUACGUACUGUACGUACUGUACGUACUGUACGUACACGUACUGUACGUACUGUACGUACACGUACUGUACGUACUGUACGUACUGUACGUACUGUACGUAUGUACGUAUGUACGUAUGUACGUAUGUACG
RNAcentral lists this long non-coding RNA (283 nucleotides) under Helianthus annuus (common sunflower). RNAcentral's name for it is "sRNA HanXRQr2_Chr04g0173471". The record is from RNAcentral. Lineage: Eukaryota; Viridiplantae; Streptophyta; Magnoliopsida; Asterales; Asteraceae.